This is a non-coding RNA of Chanos chanos (milkfish), 438 nucleotides long. The record is from the annotation of a RefSeq genome assembly. NCBI's taxonomy places the organism in Eukaryota, Metazoa, Chordata, Actinopteri, Gonorynchiformes, Chanidae.
AUGUCAGGUGUUCCUGAGAGAUUCAGUGGUUCAUACAGUGGUGCACUGACCACUUUCACCAUCAGUGGAGUCCAGAUAGAGGAUGAAGCUGAGUAUCAUUGUGGUCGUGCCCUGUCCUCCCCAGUUAUAAAUCUACUGAGUCCCCCGCCAAAGGAGAUCGUCAGCACUAACCAAGCCACAGUGAUCUGCGUGGUCAACAAAUUUUACCCUGACCACGUCACAGUGAGCUGGACAGUUGACGGACGGGAGGUGUCGGCAAACACGCAGGACAGCGCGUCGGUCAAACAGUCAGACGGGACGUAUAGCAUGAGUAGCAGUCUCACUCUGUCCGAGUCCGACUGGAACGCCGCUGAAGUCUUCACAUGCAAAGUUCAACACGAAAGCCAGGGGACGCCUGUCACUGGAAGCCUGAACAAGAGUCAGUGUGAAACGGAGUAG